AUAAGGAUCACCUGGAGGGCUUAUUAAAACACAGACUGCUGGCCCCACCCUCAGGGUAUCAGAGACAGUAAGUCUGGGGUGGAACUAGAAAAUGUGCAGUUUUAAUAAGUUUCCCAGUGAUGCUAAG
Molecule: microRNA precursor, 127 nt
Filed under: Marmota monax (woodchuck)
Lineage: Eukaryota; Metazoa; Chordata; Mammalia; Rodentia; Sciuridae
Source: RNAcentral